AUCCUCUCCUCUCACAUCGCUCUCCAGCUCCACUUGCGCUCGCAGCCUCCCGCCUGUUCGCUCGCUGCUCUCCUCUCUCCUCCUCUUAUUGCACUCUCACUCAUACAUCCAGACACAUGCAUGCAUGCAUUCACUCUGCCUUCUCUAUGUGUCUCCCCUUCUCUCUCCUUCUUUCACUACUCGGUCCUGUGCAGACUUGAGGAGCCCCGGAGAGGAGAUGAUGAUGAUGAUGGUGAUGCUGCUGCUGCUGGUGGUGGAGACCUUUUGGUGAUUUUUCUUUUUCCCCUUUAAAAAAAAAAAGGCAGAAAAAAGAGCAGAAAACUAGACUCAGAGCAAUGUUGAUGCAACAGCACCUCUUCCCUCUGCGCUGUGUUGAUCUGUCUGCCUCCUGCCUAGCAUCAGCCCAUUUUGGGGGGAUUUAAACGACAGGAAGAGUGCUGCGCUGGCUGUGCGCUCUGCGGUUCUGGUGCGCUGGAUCUCCUGCUCUUCAUCUCACACUGAAGGAUGUUCAGUUCUUUACACGAUCUGGAAUAUUACUACUACUACUACUGUCAACACUCCUCCUGCUGCUGCUGCUGCCCACUUCUCUGCCCCGGCCAGAUCGCAGUCUGAGACGCCCCUAAAGGGAAGAACAAGCAUGUCAGAGGCACCUGUGUUGCACAUGGAAAUGAGCCGUCUGCUGCUGGUUCUGCUGGACCUCUAAGCCAGACUUGAGAUUAUCCCAGAAUCACAGAAGAAAUUGGGAGUUCUCCUUUUCUGACGAGCUGAAAAAAAAUUCCUGUAUCACUGUAUACUGAGGAGCGCCAGCCGCUUAACCAGCUCUAUGGUUUUCUGAUUUGCCCAAGACUGCAAUUUUGGCAUCUGACUAAGAGUGGGUUUGUACAACGUUUGGACAAGGAGGUGGAGAACUGUCAGCAGCGGUGGCGGGUCGGAGAAACUCUGUUUGUUCCUCUUUACCAGGCAGGAAGGAAGAAUGACGGUGAACUCGCUGCUCCAUCAACACUACAGUCCCAACAUAUAGCUGCAGUUAUAGGGAGGAGCACAUCAGUUACAGCUGAUAAAACAACCUCUGUGUCUCUGCAAGAAGCCGCUACAGGAGGAAACAUUUAGAUACCCAACAGACAUCUUCUUUUUGAAGGAAAAGUAAGAUAUUUUCAGGCAUAUUUUUGUACUUACUGUAUUUUCAGUUAGGCUUUUCUUCCCUUUAUCAUUUGUUUUUAGCAUGCAAGGAAGUCCAGGUUUUAAGGACUGAGUUAAAUUCAAACUUGCUUUAAAAUGCUUCAUGAUUG
Molecule: long non-coding RNA, 1289 nt
Organism: Amphiprion ocellaris (clown anemonefish)
Lineage: Eukaryota; Metazoa; Chordata; Actinopteri; Pomacentridae
Source: Ensembl